Molecule: ribosomal RNA, 406 nt
Filed under: uncultured bacterium
Lineage: Bacteria
Description: partial 16S ribosomal RNA
Rfam family: Bacterial small subunit ribosomal RNA
Source: RNAcentral
AUUGAACGCUGGCGGCAGGCCUAACACAUGCAAGUCGAACGAGUGGCGGACGGGUGAGUAAUGUCUGGGAAACUGCCCGAUGGAGGGGGAUAACUACUGGAAACGGUAGCUAAUACCGCAUACCAUCGGAUGUGCCCAGAUGGGCUUAGCGAGUAGGUGGGGGAACGGCUCACCUAGGCGACGAUCCCUAGCUGGUCUGCGAGGAUGACGAGCCACACUGGAGAUGAGACACGGGCCGGACUCCUGCGGGAGGCAGCAGUGGGGAAUAUUGAGCAAUGGGCGCAAGCCUGAUGCAGCCAUGCCGGGUGUAUGAAGAAGGCCUUGGGGUUGUAAAGUACUUUCAGCGAGGAGGCGUUACUCGCAGAAGAAGCACCGGCUAACUCCGUGCGAGCAGCCGCGGUAAUAC